CAGCCGCCACGGGAAUACGUAGGGUGCAAGCGUUAAUUGGAAUUACUGGGCGUAAAGCGUGCGCAGGCGGUUAUAUAAGACAGAUGUGAAAUCCCCGGGCUCAACCUGGGAACUGCAUUUGUGACUGUAUAGCUAGAGUACGGCAGAGGGGGAUGGAAUUCCGCGUGUAGCAGUGAAAUGCGUAGAUAUGCGGAGGAACACCGAUGGCGAAGGCAAUCCCCUGGGCCUGUACUGACGCUCAUGCACGAAAGCGUGGGGAGCAAACAGGAUUAGAUACCCCGGUAGUCCCUGUCUCUUAUAC
RNAcentral lists this ribosomal RNA (301 nucleotides) under uncultured bacterium. RNAcentral describes it as "partial 16S ribosomal RNA". It matches the Rfam family "Bacterial small subunit ribosomal RNA", at positions 509 to 807 of the family's 1533-position model. The record is from RNAcentral.